UAAAAAAAUGUAUGAGUCAGCUUGGGCGGUCAUAACAAAAUGGUACAAACGGAGUGGCUUAAACAACAGAAAUUUGUUUGCUCACAAUUCUGGAGGCUAGAAGUCCAAGGUCAAGGUGCUGGGACGACGGUCAGUUUCCUCCGAGGCUUCUCUCCUUGGCUCGCAGUUCCCACACGAGAUGAGGUUGAACCUUAUGAAAUUGCCGGCAGCCAAUCAAGUUCGAACUACCAAACGAGCGAGUCCCUUUGGAGCCUGCCCCGCGCUGCUGGUAGAGGACGGAGGUGCGGGGACCUCCCACCUCUGGCUGUGCGAACCCCUCGGGACAGAUGUGCAAGAAAGACGGCAGGAGUAGACGGGAAGGAGGCAUUGGGAGUUGCAGGGCACUUACCUAAGCCAGGCGCCCUGGGAAUCGCUGGACGCACGCCGUCUCAGAAUCUCCGCCAACAGCUCUGGAGAACACGAUGCCCGUUUUACAGAUGCAGAGACUGAGGUCCAGGGAUGAGCUUGCUCAAGGUCGCUCAGCUGGCUUUGCUGUCUGGAAACUAGUUCUUCGAUGGGAAUGCAAAGGGAAACGGAUAGCGGCGGGGUGCGAUGCAGUGCAUGGGGUUUCCUUUUGGACGUGAGAUCUGGACGAAAUGUCGGUCGAGUUUCUCUGGCUAUGGGGAGGUGCAGGAGGUGGUCCGGGCAUUGAGAAUAUCAGGGUGCCCAGCUCUCUGUGAGCCGCACAGCAGGGUCUAGCCUCUUGAAUUCGGGGGUGCGGGGGGGCCGUGCCUCAUCAUUUGCUAUUUGUGUGAGCACAUUCCACUUCCAGGAUCACCCCUGAAAGCGUUCUUAUCCGCAUUUUGCAGAUGGGGAAAGUGAGGCUCGGAUGGGUGAAGGUCCCUGUGGUGGUUAUCGGAUGCUCCGGGACAAGCCACCGUGGACUUAGUGGCCUCAAGACCACUCACUUCUUACGCUCACAAAUUCCGUGGGUCACGAAUUUGGAUAGGGUAUAGAAGGGAUACCUUCUGCUCCGUCAUGUCUGAGACCUCAGCAUGGAGGACCUGAAUGGCCAAGAGCGACUGGAACAGUUGGCCGGCUCAUUCACGUGUCUGGCACCGGGGCUCGGUGGCUCACAGGCUGGGCUGAGCGGGGACAGUUGACUGGAACAACCCCACACGGCCUCUUCCUUCAGCCUGGGAUCGACUCCUUGCAUCACGGCACCGAGAUUCAUUUUUUUUU
Lynx canadensis (Canada lynx) is the source of this 1221-nucleotide long non-coding RNA. RefSeq lists it as uncharacterized. The record is from RefSeq and is a predicted model, not a curated record. NCBI's taxonomy places the organism in Eukaryota, Metazoa, Chordata, Mammalia, Carnivora, Felidae. The transcript is spliced from 4 exons.